Molecule: ribosomal RNA, 579 nt
Filed under: uncultured Bacteroidota bacterium
Lineage: Bacteria; Pseudomonadati; Bacteroidota
Description: bacterial SSU rRNA
Rfam family: Bacterial small subunit ribosomal RNA
Source: RNAcentral
GCUUGCUUCCGCCGACGACCGGCGCACGGGUGCGUAACGCGUAUACAAUCUACCUUAUACUGGGGUAUAGCCUUUAGAAAUGAAGAUUAACCCCCCAUAGUCUCUUAGAGUGGCAUCACUUUUAGAGUAAAGGUUACGGUAUAAGAUGAGUAUGCGUUCUAUUAGUUUGUUGGUGUGGUAACGGCACACCAAGACUACGAUAGAUAGGGGCCCUGAGAGGGGGAUCCCCCACACUGGUACUGAGACACGGACCAGACUCCUACGGGAGGCAGCAGUGAGGAAUAUUGGACAAUGGAGGCAACUCUGAUCCAGCCAUGCCGCGUGCAGGAUGACUGCCCUAUGGGUUGUAAACUGCUUUUAUACAGGAAGAAACACCUCUACGUGUAGAGGCUUGACGGUACUGUAAGAAUAAGGAUCGGCUAACUCCGUGCCAGCAGCCGCGGUAAUACGGAGGUUCCAAGCGUUAUCCGGAAUCAUUGGGUUUAAAGGGUCCGUAGGUGGAUAAUUAAGUCAGAGGUGAAAUCUUGCAGCUCAACUGUAAAAUUGCCUUUGAAACUGGUUAUCUUGAGUUAUUAUGAA